AGAUACCCGUGUAGUCCCAGCCGUAAACUAUGCUCGCUAGGUGUCAGGCAUGGCGCGACCGUGUCUGGUGCCGCAGGGAAGCCGUGAAGCGAGCCACCUGGGAAGUACGGCCGCAAGGCUGAAACUUAAAGGAAUUGGCGGGGAGCACAACAACGGGUGGAGCCUGCGGUUUAAUUGGACUCAACGCCGGGAAGCUCACCGGAUAAGACAGCGGAAUGAUUGCCGGGCUGAAGACUCUGCAUGACUAGCUG
Molecule: ribosomal RNA, 251 nt
Filed under: uncultured archaeon
Lineage: Archaea
Description: partial 16S ribosomal RNA
Rfam family: Archaeal small subunit ribosomal RNA
Source: RNAcentral